UUGGCUGGGCUGGGCUGGGCUGUCUGCUCCAGAGAGCAGGGCUGGCCCCACCCCUCUGCUCCCUAGCCAGAGCUGUGAGGGCUAACUAACAAGGGAGUGGAGCAAGUCUGGCUGGGGAUGCAGCCCAAUCUAUGCAGGGGGGGGAAGUGCCCCCUACCCCCACCUCAGGCAAACCCCGAUGGGGUCUGGGGCCAGGGAGGAGGGAUUAAACACCCUGUCCCCUACUCAAACUUACUGCUGGCUGCAACUAUGAACUACAAAUCCCAGAAGCACCUGGAAGCAGGAAGAGGAAGUGAUGAGCAACCCUGCAGAGUCCUGGUGCUGUGGGUCUGGACUACAAAUCCCAGAGACCUCGGGGCAGCAGGAAGAGGAACUGAACACACAGCCAGACAGCUCUGGUCUAGUAUUUUCUGGCUUCUUGUCUGAGUUCCUGCAGGCAUGUUACUGCGUUACCUGAACCAAAGAUUUGAUGAUGAAGUCAGUGCUUUCAACACCAUUUUCUGAUGAGACCAGAUCCCUAGCUGGCUGUGUACAGACUUCCAUGGACCCAUGCCUCUUGAUACCAGCUAAAAGCUGGGCCUGUAUAAAUUUCAAAGAUCUGAAAUGCAUCACCAUUUGUUGAAAAUGGUCAUUUCUCUUUCCAUUCCCUGAUAAAAUACUAGAUAAGAACCUAAAAGCAAAA
Long non-coding RNA from Alligator mississippiensis (American alligator), 682 nucleotides. RefSeq lists it as uncharacterized. The transcript is spliced from 2 exons. The record is from RefSeq and is a predicted model, not a curated record. NCBI's taxonomy places the organism in Eukaryota, Metazoa, Chordata, Crocodylia, Alligatoridae.